Culex pipiens pallens (northern house mosquito) is the source of this 1958-nucleotide long non-coding RNA. RefSeq lists it as uncharacterized. The transcript is spliced from 3 exons. The record is from RefSeq and is a predicted model, not a curated record. NCBI's taxonomy places the organism in Eukaryota, Metazoa, Arthropoda, Insecta, Diptera, Culicidae.
UUUUAAGGGAAUUUGAAAAAAAAAAACUAGGAAUUACAUAUGUUUAAGAACUUUUAUUAUCAUUUAUAUAUAUUUUUGCCUUCCAUCUUGAACCUUUUGCGAAUAUUUCUAUACUAUUUAUGAAAUAAUUUCUUUCAAUUCCUCUAUUUUUCAAAAAUGCUGUUUUGAACCUUAUUUUUUAAUCUACGUGAAGUUUAUACAUAAUUUUAGUUAAAUACAUAGUUUCAUCGCACCCUAUCGAUACGUACUUUGACAAUGUGUUGUUGAUUUUUACCUAGUACAAACAAUUAUUCACGUCUACUUUUGCUUUCAAAAAUCGUUCUUCCACAGAUGGUGCAAUUGUGCAAGUUUCAACAGGUCUAAACAAAAAAUAAUAUUUCUCACCGUCACUUAAAAUUGUAUGAAUAUUUCAAAUUCCUCUUCAAUACUAAAAAAACAAUCAUUAUUCGGUCUUUUUUCAUUUCGUUUUCCUGACCAAGUUGACUUAAAGAACGGUUUGAAAAUAAAGUUAUUAAACUUCAAUCUGGACAAAACAAAAAAUUCUCUAACGUUGUUAUAUUUGUUAAUCACGGAUUCGUCAAUAACAAAUUUUUGAGUUGUAGUUCUAGUAUCAAUGGAAUUGAUCAAGUUCACCUUUUUGCAUUAAGAACGAGCAGGACAGACUCUUUGUUUACACUUCGGCUUUGACCCUUUUACAUUGUUUUGCUUGAAUUUUCUGAGUACAAUAACCCUUUGUACGACUACAAAGAGUUUUGAAUGGAUUUUUAAAUCAAUUUUGAAAAAUUAACCUCGCGGUCCUUCUUGACAGAAAAGGCCCUACUUGACAGCUCGUUCGAAGGGGACCAAAGUUGAUCCAUCGAAAAAAUGUUGUCUUGUCAAAUUUUUUUUUGCAUUAAAAUGAAAAAAAGUGAUCAGAAAUGGUUUUUGAUCGUGUUUUUUAACGUUGUCGAUAAAAAUUGACAUAGGGCUUUAGCACCCAAUUAAAAAAAAUUAAAAUAUAAAUAUAUGGAGCCUAAUAUUUCAAAAGGGCAAUAUUAUUAUAGUUUACAUAAGGUGUGAAAGGGACACACUCUUGUCUAAAAAAGUUAUGUGCCCUAAUGAAAUGGCAAGCACGAUAUAUAAAUUUCUGAAUUAUUUCAUUUUCCAUACGUAAUGUGUGAAUGGCCCCGCGCGCAGAAACGUCAAAACAAACGCGAUGCGCGAUGUGCAAGUAAAAAGAAAAGCGCUUGCAAGUAAAAGGGUUGCGCUUGGUCGAAGGAGCUACACAAUUUUGAAAACUUGCCCAAAAUUAAACCUGGGUCAUCAUUUGACGAAAGCGAUGCUGCUAUUUCAAACUGAGGAAAAGAUUACUUUUGCAGACCAAAUCGAUUUUAAUUGGUUUGAUUCAACUUCAGUGCAUAACGGAUUAGGGCAAUAGAUCGAUCGAAUUGAACUUCCAUUCGGCCAAAACCACGAUCCAGACCUUUCUGAAAUGAUCAAGCCAACUUUAACAGGGAACCUGGAAACAGAAUCGCGUGGAUUUCUUCGGAGAAAGUGGAGCAUUUCGCAUCAUGUUUUUGUUUGUAUGAUAACAAGUUGUAUUCUGGAGCAACAUUUGAAAGGGACGGUACGAAAUUGCUCUUACGGCCUUCUUCCCAUUUCAACACAUGAAAAGAAAGGCCGUAAGAGCGAUGUCGUACUGCUCCCUUCAAAUGUUGCAUGUUUAUUUAUUACCAUUUUUUUUUUCAUUUAGUUUGUUUUCUUUUUUUCAGGUUGAACUCAAGAACAACAAGAUCACCAGAUGAACUCUCGGUUAUCCGACGUUGCACGACUGCGCCGUUUUCCUUCAGAACAAUCUUCAGAACCGGCUGAUGAAGUAACCUCUGGGACCCCUCCAUCCGACCAACAAUUUCCAAAGAAUGACGGAGAUGGAGCUGAUCGUGGUGUACAGCUUUGGUCAACUCUACCACAGCGGAUAC